AUUGAACGCUGGCGGCAGGCCUAACACAUGCAAGUCGAGCGGAUGAAGGGAGCUUGCUCCUGGAUUCAGCGGCGGACGGGUGAGUAAUGCCUAGGAAUCUGCCUGGUAGUGGGGGAUAACGUCCGGAAACGGGCGCUAAUACCGCAUACGUCCUGAGGGAGAAAGUGGGGGAUCUUCGGACCUCACGCUAUCAGAUGAGCCUAGGUCGGAUUAGCUAGUUGGUGGGGUAAAGGCCUACCAAGGCGACGAUCCGUAACUGGUCUGAGAGGAUGAUCAGUCACACUGGAACUGAGACACGGUCCAGACUCCUACGGGAGGCAGCAGUGGGGAAGAUUGGACAAUGGGCGAAAGCCUGAUCCAGCCAUGCCGCGUGUGUGAAGAAGGUCUUCGGAUUGUAAAGCACUUUAAGUUGGGAGGAAGGGCAGUAAGUUAAUACCUUGCUGCUUUGACGUUACCAACAGAAUAAGCACCGGCUAACUUCGUG
Molecule: ribosomal RNA, 484 nt
Filed under: uncultured bacterium
Lineage: Bacteria
Description: partial 16S ribosomal RNA
Rfam family: Bacterial small subunit ribosomal RNA
Source: RNAcentral